Molecule: ribosomal RNA, 468 nt
Filed under: uncultured bacterium
Lineage: Bacteria
Description: partial 16S ribosomal RNA
Rfam family: Bacterial small subunit ribosomal RNA
Source: RNAcentral
GACGAACGCUGGCGGCGUGCUUAACACAUGCAAGUCGAACGGAAAGGCCCUGCUUUUGUGGGGUGCUCGAGUGGCGAACGGGUGAGUAACACGUGAGUAACCUGCCCUUGACUUUGGGAUAACUUCAGGAAACUGGUGCUAAUACCGGAUAGGAGCUCCUGCUGCAUGGUGGGGGUUGGAAAGUUUCGGCGGUUGGGGAUGGACUCGCGGCUUAUCAGCUUGUUGGUGGGGUAGUGGCUUACCAAGGGUUUGACGGGUAGCCGGCCUGAGAGGGUGACCGGCCACAUUGGGACUGAGAUACGGCCCAGACUCCUACGGGAGGCAGCAGUGGGGAGUAUUGCACAAUGGGCGGAAGCCUGAUGCAGCAACGCCGCGUGCGGGAUGACGGCCUUCGGGUUGUAAAACGCUUUCGCCUGUGACGAAGCGUGAGUGACGGUAAUGGGUAAAGAAGCACCGGCUAACUACGUG